UCGAACGCGAAAGUGGAGCAUCCAUGAGUAGAGUGGCAAACGGGUGAGUAACACGUGGGUGACCUGCCUUCGAGCGGGGGAUAACGUCCCGAAAGGGACGCUAAUACCGCAUAACAUCCUGCCUUUGAAGAGGUGGUGAUCAAAGCUGGCGCAAGCUAGCACUCGAAGAGGGGCCCGCGUCCGAUUAGCUAGUUGGUGAGGUAACGGCUCACCAAGGCAACGAUCGGUAGCCGGCCUGAGAGGGCGGACGGCCACACUGGGACUGAGGCACGGCCCAGACUCCUACGGGAGGCAGCAGUGGGGAAUUGUUCGCAAUGGGCGCAAGCCUGACGACGCAACGCCGCGUGGAGGAUGAAGAUCUUCGGGUCGUAAACUCCUUUCGAUCGAGACGAAUAGUCUCCGGGUGAAUAAUCCGGAGAAAUGACGGUACCGAGAGAAGAAGCCCCGGCUAACUCCGUGCCAGCAGCCGCGGUAAUACGGGGGGGGCAAGCGUUGUUCGGAAUUACUGGGCGUAAAGGGCUUGUAGGUGGCCAACUAAGUCAAACGUGAAAUCCCUCGGCUUAACCGGGGAACUGCGUCUGAUACUGGAUGGCUCGAGUUUGGGAGAGGGAUGCGGAAUUCCAGGUGUAGCGGUGAAAUGCGUAGAUAUCUGGAGGAACACCGGUGGCGAAGGCGGCAUCCUGGACCAAUACUGACA
This 697-nucleotide ribosomal RNA is filed under the name uncultured bacterium. RNAcentral's name for it is "bacterial SSU rRNA". It matches the Rfam family "Bacterial small subunit ribosomal RNA", at positions 62 to 745 of the family's 1533-position model. The record is from RNAcentral.